CACCAAUCCCCUCACUAUUUGCGGUAGUGAGGGGAUUUUUAUUGGUGCGGCUAUAUGUCACCUAUUUUGUAUUGCGUCUACUUAGCCAAUAAGAAAAAAACGCAAUGGCACAGCCACUGAUGACUGGUGCUAUGAUGUGAACGAAAAUAAGCAUCACCUUAUACACCUCCUCUCUGCGUCUAAAUUGACGCCUGAGAGAUAGGCGACUCUACUAUUAUAUCAUC
Molecule: small RNA, 224 nt
Filed under: Staphylococcus aureus KLT6
Lineage: Bacteria; Bacillati; Bacillota; Bacilli; Caryophanales; Staphylococcaceae
Description: SprA
Rfam family: Fst antitoxin sRNA (bases 20-114)
Source: RNAcentral